Molecule: ribosomal RNA, 572 nt
Filed under: Penicillium sp.
Lineage: Eukaryota; Fungi; Ascomycota; Eurotiomycetes; Eurotiales; Aspergillaceae
Description: eukaryotic LSU rRNA
Source: RNAcentral
AUUACCGAGUGAGGGCCCUCUGGGUCCAACCUCCCACCCGUGUUUAUUUUACCUUGUUGCUUCGGCGGGCCCGCCUUAACUGGCCGCCGGGGGGCUCACGCCCCCGGGCCCGCGCCCGCCGAAGACACCCUCGAACUCUGUCUGAAGAUUGAAGUCUGAGUGAAAAUAUAAAUUAUUUAAAACUUUCAACAACGGAUCUCUUGGUUCCGGCAUCGAUGAAGAACGCAGCGAAAUGCGAUACGUAAUGUGAAUUGCAAAUUCAGUGAAUCAUCGAGUCUUUGAACGCACAUUGCGCCCCCUGGUAUUCCGGGGGGCAUGCCUGUCCGAGCGUCAUUGCUGCCCUCAAGCCCGGCUUGUGUGUUGGGCCCCGUCCUCCGAUCUCCGGGGGACGGGCCCGAAAGGCAGCGGCGGCACCGCGUCCGGUCCUCGAGCGUAUGGGGCUUUGUCACCCGCUCUGUAGGCCCGGCCGGCGCUUGCCGAUCAACCCAAAUUUUUAUCCAGGUUGACCUCGGAUCAGGUAGGGAUACCCGCUGAACUUAAGCAUAUCAAUAAGCGGAGGAAANAAAAMCCAA